UCCGUAGGUGAACCUGCGGAAGGAUCAUUACUGAGUUAGGGUCUCAUCUCGAGCCCGAACCUCCAACCCUUUGUAUAAAACACUUUGUUGCUUUGGCAGGCCCGUCUGAAAAUCCUUUAAUCGGGAUCGACGACCGCCGGGGGCGUUCAGUCACCUCUGGCCAGUGCUUGCCGAUAGCCUAUUCAAAAUUCUUUAUUAAAUCAUGUCUGAAAAAUUAUAACUAAAUAUAAUUAAAACUUUUAACAACGGAUCUCUUGGUUCUGGCAUCGAUGAAGAACGCAGCGAAAUGCGAUAAGUAAUGUGAAUUGCAGAAUUCAGUGAAUCAUCGAAUCUUUGAACGCACAUUGCGCCCUUUGGUAUUCCGAAGGGCAUGCCUGUUCGAGCGUCAUUAUCAACCCUCAAGCUCGGCUUGUUAUUGGGUCCUUAUCGUUAAAGAUAGGCCCGAAAGAUAAUGGCGGCGUCAUAAAUGACCCCAGAUGCAGCGAGCUUAUAGCAUACAUCGAAAGGUUUUUAUGGCCCGGCCUUAACGAGAAGCAAUUCUCAAUUUAUUUAAAGGUUGACCUCGGAUCAGGUAGGAAUACCCGCUGAACUUAAGCAUAUCAAUAAGCGGAGGA
Molecule: ribosomal RNA, 614 nt
Filed under: Neophaeomoniella zymoides
Lineage: Eukaryota; Fungi; Ascomycota; Eurotiomycetes; Phaeomoniellales; Phaeomoniellaceae
Description: eukaryotic LSU rRNA
Rfam family: 5.8S ribosomal RNA (bases 235-388)
Source: RNAcentral